CCCUCCCUUGAGAUGAUUACUGAUGCUAUAUUCUAUUUCUUUUAGAAAAAUUCCAUUUGGUUCCAUAGACUAUUCUUCUUGAGCUCUUCUUUCAUUUUCUUUGAUUUGUAUAACUUUUUUGGAGUACAUGAGUAGGAUGAAUUAUUGUUUUCUUUUUUUUUUUUUCUCUUCUUCACACAAUAGUAAUGGUAUCAUUGUGUAGGAUUCAUCACAAGGAAGCAUUGCAUUAUAUAAACUAAAGUUGAGCAU
This 249-nucleotide long non-coding RNA is filed under the name Elaeis guineensis (African oil palm). RNAcentral's name for it is "long non-coding RNA (EGUI_LNC078805)". Lineage: Eukaryota; Viridiplantae; Streptophyta; Magnoliopsida; Arecales; Arecaceae. The record is from RNAcentral.